AUUCAUCUAGUCAAAAUCAACGAUUGAUAUCCAUAUUAAUUCUCGGUCAAAUUAAUACAAAAAAAGCUGGAAAAUACAAUUAAAACACGCUGAGGCACAUUCACUGAAUAACCGCAUAACUAUGCGGUAAUUUCGGGAUUUACUACCCCAACAACCCACACGUCUGAAACCCUAGGAAUAGGAAACAAACGACUCGCUCCAAUCAACAGCGCAGCGGAAAUUUUCACAGAAGUUGAACGGUGGAUUGAUUGCUGUUUAUCCCGGCGACGAAACAAUAGAAGAAGGUGAGUUUUUAUAUUUUGUUUGGUGAAUAACUAGUUAGGUGUUUGAAAUCUACACCCACGUCUCUAACCCUAGCCGCGUUGACCCCUCCUCCCCCCUCGCCCAACCUACAGAACAGCGGCCAUUCCACCCCAUAAGCUUCGACGACGGAUUGAUUCCUGUGAUUUACGGCGACGAUCCGUUAAAAGAGGGUGAGUUUUUACUCUAUUGUGUUGCUUGUUUAUUUUAUAUUUUGGAUAAUGAAAAUGGUGUAAGCAACCUGAAAAGUCAUCUUUUUGGAAACGACGACUCAUUUUUGUAGAAUAAUGGAAGAUUUGUCGAUAAAAAUUGAGUUUUUCUGGUGGUGUAUUGAAUAAUGGAGGAGACAUUAGAUUCAAUUUUCGUCUCUGGUAUAGCAGAAGCUCUCUACUGAUCUAGGGACCCAGGGGUAUUGAA
RNAcentral lists this long non-coding RNA (717 nucleotides) under Salvia miltiorrhiza (redroot sage). RNAcentral's name for it is "long non-coding RNA (SMIL_LNC007950)". The record is from RNAcentral. Lineage: Eukaryota; Viridiplantae; Streptophyta; Magnoliopsida; Lamiales; Lamiaceae.